CCGGCGCUCGCCGGGUAAGACGCACCGGAGCCGGGAGCGAGAGCUCGAGGCCCUGAGCGCCGAGCCUCGGCUGCCGGCCCAGGCAGGUGAGUGGCCUCGGCGCCUCCCGGCUCGCGCGCCCGAAACGGGCGCGGCCUGGCCCGGACCCGCGGUCUCUCCGUACGUCUGUUUCUGCUCCCUGCCUGUAGCUUACGACUCAUCAACGCGUAAAACGCGAUCGCAGCGAAACCUCCAGCCUGUCUUGCCGCCUCAGAGCCCAGCAGGGGCUUCUCAAAGACAACGCGGCACCGGGGACAAUCCCCGGUGUCCGGCAAGGCCGCCCCAUGGAGUUCAAAGUCGGGGAUGGAGCGCGGGAGGCCCCGGACUCGCAGGCCGGCCGCCAGGCGGUGAACGCCGGAGCCGAGCGGAAGCUUACCGCCGACCGCGAUCCCAGCGUCGGUUCGCGGGGAGACGGUCGUUCCGAGCUUUCAGGAGAGCAGGGAUUGUUGCGAAUGCGGGUCGCUGCCCUUUGGUCUCACUGAAGCUGUUCCUUUCCUUACAUGGGAACAAGAUUUUACAAAGGACUGGGGAAGGGCAGCAGCGAAAACUGAGUUUUCUAACGACCUUUUCCAAAUGACUGGAGACUUUCCGGUGGAGUGUGGCUCAGCGGUGUCUGGGUGCUUUCGCAGGGAGCUGGGAGUGCAGACAUCCAGAGCCUCAGCCCCGCGCCCAGCUGCCCAGGGCUCCCCCAUCCUGGGCAAGCCUCCUCCCCGCCCUUUGUUUCAACUUCGCUCCCCUCAGGGACUGGCCCAACAUUCGACGUGUGUCUGCACCCUGGGCCCAGGCUCCCGGGAGAUCUUGGGAGGUUCUACCCGCCACCUCCAAGCCCGACAGCGUGGAGCCCUGCUGAGACCUGCAGACAGUCGAGCGUGGUGCCCCCUCCUCUGCGAACGGCCACGGUUUGCUCUGAGGCCUGGCGGCCCUGCAGCCCGGCGAUAGGACAACGGGUAAAUCCGUUUCGUUAGAUGCAAUUUGUCUGCAAUUUGUCAACCCGGCUGGGAAACGCGCCCCAGACGCCCGGGCCGCCGCUGGCCCUUCCUGCUUCUUGGAUCCUGCCUACUCAUGAACGAAUCCCAGCGUGAAGAGCCUGCAUAGACCAGAGCUCACGGCCAGAUGUCCCCGACCCCCGGAGACCUGGCUUUUUCCAAAACAACGAAUUUCCUUCCGUGUUUUCCGGGAAAGGAGCGGCUGCAGCAUCCGGGGGCCCUGAAUGCCAGACCUUUCCCCUCGCGGUUGGGGCAACCUGGAGUUCAAGCCUGACCUCUGCGGAACGAUUCUAAAUGCC
Bos taurus (domestic cattle) is the source of this 1324-nucleotide long non-coding RNA. The record is from Ensembl. Lineage: Eukaryota; Metazoa; Chordata; Mammalia; Artiodactyla; Bovidae.